Non-coding RNA from Macaca mulatta (Rhesus monkey), 867 nucleotides. NCBI's taxonomy places the organism in Eukaryota, Metazoa, Chordata, Mammalia, Primates, Cercopithecidae. The record is from RefSeq and is a predicted model, not a curated record.
AGCAUUAAAAAAAAUCCUUGAGUCCACGUUGAUAUAAAUAAAUGACUAAAUAAGAUCUUCCAAUAAUUUAUGUAAAUCCUCUGUCUUAAAGAGAAGGGCUGUAAGUCCCACCUCCUUAAGUGUGGGCCAUACGUAGCAACUUCCUUCCAAAGAGCACAGAACAGAAGGGUUGGCGGGGGAGGAGGUCACUUUACAGCGGAGAAACCUGACUAACGCUAUCUCAGCCGGGUGAUCAAGGUAACAGCAGCAGUUAUAAGCCAUGUUGAUAGUCUGUACCCUUGGCAGGAUGUGAUGAAAAUGGCAUUCGGCCUCUGUGGUCUUGCUCCCACCAACACUUAACUCCAGUCUAAUGGGAAACACAUUAGACAAAUGUCAAUGAGCGACAUGCUACAAAAUACCUGUCCAAUAUUCCUCACAACUGUCCAGCUUACGAAAAAGAAAGUAAUUCUGAGAAUCUGUCACAGCCAAGAAGAACCUAAGGAUAUGGAUGACAAGAAUGUCAUGUUGUGUCUGGGAUGGAUUCCAGAACAGAAAAAGGACAACAGCGAGGCAAGCUUGGCCUGAAGUCUCUCUCUUUCUGGCUCUUACUGUACUUCCUUGAAAGUCUGCAAGAACUGGUAACACUGUGUAUAACUAUCCUUAACGCACAUUAAAUUUAGAAUAUUUUAAUUGGAUGAACAAAAGCAGCAAACUGUGUCUAAUUUCCCACAAUUGCAAAAUAUCCUUCACUGACAUGAAAUACAACAGAUGUUUAACUCUUUUAAUACAUUUUCUGUAUUUUGUAGCUCUUGUGUACCCAUACAUUUUCAAACCCUUUUUGUAGCAAAAUUCCUUAUAGAUGAGAGAGGAAAUACAAUUUUCACUUCA